This is a non-coding RNA of Paramuricea clavata, 262 nucleotides long. NCBI's taxonomy places the organism in Eukaryota, Metazoa, Cnidaria, Anthozoa, Malacalcyonacea, Plexauridae. The record is from the annotation of a GenBank genome assembly.
GAGCGGCUUAAAAAUGCGUUUAGUCUUGGAAAUUUUUCCUUCUUUUUGCUACCGACGUACUCGAAAUCAAAUUCUUCAGCCUUUAUUACAUGGGAACUAUGUAGUUGCUGUUCUUCCAACUGGGUUUGGUAAAUAUCGUUCGUUCGCUAAACAAAAUUAACAAGAGGACACGGAAAGUGUUUUGAACUGGGAUGUUAAACUUGGUUUUACCCUUCCAAAGACUCUGCUGUGCGACGAUUGGAGCGAGUUUAUGAAUUAUAAG